CCAGGAGCUCCUUCAGUGGUUGUCGCUGUUACUAAGUGUGUUUUGUCUUCAAAGGAAUUCCUUGUUGACGCAUACUCAUUUAAAAAUGAAAAUUUUGGAUGGUAACUUUUAAGAAGUGCGAUAUAUUUUAUAUGUACAUUUCAACAUAAGAUGGACCUUUGACCUCUAUCUUAUGACCUUGCAGUAGUUGUAAAAAGUAUUUGUGUGAUGAUAGACGCACUAAAUCGACCAAGACAGAUUCUCAAUUCAAGAAUGAAAAGAAAAAGCAGCUUACUUGAAGGUGGUCCUGUUGGAUGUGUUUAAAGUGACAGAAAUUGCAUGGAAACAAAGUACUAGGGAAAUACGUGAACUGCCUUCAUUUUGUUAUUUUGAAUAAUACAAAAGAAUAAAGACAUCCGAGACAGAUGUAAAAUGUUUAACAAACAGUUUCGUCGGCAGCAAGUCUGUAGAAAACGACACUAAACGUCACCAUCGCUAUAUCAACAAUUGUGUUUAUACAAAGAAUAGUCCCCCUUUAACGUAGUAUUAGCUAUUUCCGAUCUGACUUUCAUAGUAUCGUAUGUAUGCCAGUAUUUUAUGCGCAUAAUUAAUUUUAUUACGCACAGUAAUUAUAUAAUUAUAUACAAAAUCGCAUAUUUUACAUGAUAUUUUAGUGUUUUUUAAAUGAUGAUUUGACAUUUUAUACUGCAAUUUAAAAUAGAUUUACACUGAUUGUCUUAAAGAUAAUUAUUUUAUAGAUGUAGCAAUUUCCUACCGAAAAGAUCAACGCUAACAUCUCUUCAGUUGCAUGAGAUUUUAGACGUUUAAAUGUUUUUUUCUUAAAAUUGUUUAAAAAAUAAAUGUAAUAAAGAAAAUAAUGAUAAAAACGAUAACGAAAAACCUAGCUGUUAACAACGAUCAGUUUGAGAUAUUUUUCUUGUGUGUAUGCUAACCGUUUAAUAUCAAAGAAACCAUAUUUAUUGCAGUAUGACGACCUGUUCUGGACUAACUUUCGUCGAGAAAAAGUUAUAACCAAAACUUUUGAAAGUUAGAUAUGUUUUAUUAAAAACUAUUUGAUUAAAGGGGGCUUGUAGCAAUUGCCAAAAUAUCACUGGUAAAUUUUCCUCUAUUUGUUUUGUAAAUCUAUUUGUUCUGCCCAUCAAAAAAUUUGUUCUGCCCAUCAAAAAAUCUAUAGUUCAACACAUGUCCUGGUAUCUUACAAAAUUUUCUUUACAAAGGACCGUAAAACCCAUAACGUCUUAUAAUGUGCAUUGUUUUUGUAUAGUCCCCCCUCCCCCAUAAAAAGCUAAUACAAAUAUAUGGAAUGAAUUGAAUUAGAAUACAUUUGUUUCUCCCUAUAUUCUGAAUCAAAACAUAAUUAUUCAUUUUAAACCAAACAUAUAAUUUGGUACGCCAUACGCGUCUUUCUUCUAUAUAAGACUCAUUAGCCCUCGAAGUUGGAAGGUCAACCGAAAAACAAAGUUGCAGAGCAUUAAAAAACCGAAAAAUCCAAGUUGUGCCAAAUACGGAUAGAUUAAACACACUCGAGAAUGAAGUUCUCACUACUAUGCACUGUUUGUCAAUGAGAAUAAAGCUAGUCAUUCGUCUA
Mytilus californianus (California mussel) is the source of this 1588-nucleotide long non-coding RNA. RefSeq lists it as uncharacterized. The record is from RefSeq and is a predicted model, not a curated record. The transcript is spliced from 2 exons. Lineage: Eukaryota; Metazoa; Mollusca; Bivalvia; Mytilida; Mytilidae.